UCCCCCUAGCAAUGGGCAAUGAGACAUCUGAUUGGUGGUGUUAUUCUUAUAUCAAUCAGGGGCAAAGCAGAUGUACAGUCCUUAGUUCAUCUGUGUUGGUGGCCAGGGCUGUUUCAUGCCUGAGGCACAUUU
Pipistrellus kuhlii (Kuhl's pipistrelle) is the source of this 132-nucleotide small nucleolar RNA. RefSeq annotates it as small nucleolar RNA SNORA48. The record is from RefSeq and is a predicted model, not a curated record. The transcript has a single exon. Lineage: Eukaryota; Metazoa; Chordata; Mammalia; Chiroptera; Vespertilionidae.